RNAcentral lists this ribosomal RNA (301 nucleotides) under uncultured bacterium. RNAcentral's name for it is "partial 16S ribosomal RNA". It matches the Rfam family "Bacterial small subunit ribosomal RNA", at positions 509 to 807 of the family's 1533-position model. The record is from RNAcentral.
CAGUAGCCGCGGUAAUACGGAGGGUGCAAGCGUUAAUCGGAAUUACUGGGCGUAAAGCGUGCGUAGGCGGUUCGUUAAGUCUGUUGUGAAAGCCCCGGGCUCAACCUGGGAAUUGCAGUGGAUACUGGGUCACUAGAGUGUGGUAGAGGAUAGUGGAAUUUCCGGUGUAGCAGUGAAAUGCGUAGAGAUCGGGAGGAACAUCAGUGGCGAAGGCGGCCAUCUGGGACAACACUGACGCUGAGGCACGAAAGCGUGGGGAGCAAACAGGAUUAGAUACCCCUGUAGUCCCUGUCUCUUAUAC